GCUACGGACUUGAAUUUUGAGCCUUAUUAGAGAAAUCUACUAAGUGAUUGUUUUCACAUUCAGGGAAACCUAAGGUUUGAAAUAUGAGGUAAUCCUGAGCCAAAUUUUAAUUAUGAAAUAGGUGCAGAGACUCGAAGGAAACUAUCCUAACGAAAAAUUUUUUCAAUAAAUAAUAAUAGACGAGGAUAAAGAUAGAGUCCUUUUUUACAAUCUAUAUAGUUUUUACUUAUAAAUAAUUGUAAAAAGAAAAUCCGUUGGCUUUAAUAGACCUUGAGGGUUCAAGUCCCUCUACCCCCA
RNAcentral lists this non-coding RNA (297 nucleotides) under Acanthocoleus aberrans. RNAcentral's name for it is "partial tRNA-Leu". The stretch from base 2 to 222 matches the Rfam family "Group I catalytic intron". Rfam says of the family: Group I catalytic introns are large self-splicing ribozymes. Lineage: Eukaryota; Viridiplantae; Streptophyta; Jungermanniopsida; Porellales; Lejeuneaceae. The record is from RNAcentral.